UCCGGUGUAGCUCAGCGGUAGAGCAGCGGACUGUUAAUCCGUUGGUCGCUGGUUCGAUCCCAGCCACCGGAG
This 72-nucleotide transfer RNA is filed under the name Simiduia agarivorans SA1 = DSM 21679. It matches the Rfam family "tRNA". Rfam says of the family: Transfer RNA (tRNA) molecules are approximately 80 nucleotides in length. Their secondary structure includes four short double-helical elements and three loops (D, anti-codon, and T loops). RNAcentral also lists the same sequence under 1 other name. Lineage: Bacteria; Pseudomonadati; Pseudomonadota; Gammaproteobacteria; Cellvibrionales; Cellvibrionaceae. The record is from Rfam by way of RNAcentral.